This 492-nucleotide ribosomal RNA is filed under the name uncultured bacterium. Its description in RNAcentral is "partial 16S ribosomal RNA". It matches the Rfam family "Bacterial small subunit ribosomal RNA", at positions 29 to 507 of the family's 1533-position model. The record is from RNAcentral.
AGUGAACGCUGGCGGUAGGCCUAACACAUGCAAGUCGAACGGCAGCACAGUAAGAGCUUGCUCUUACGGGUGGCGCGUGGCGGACGGGUGAGGAAUACAUCGGAAUCUACUUUUUCGUGGGGGAUAACGUAGGGAAACUUACGCUAAUACCGCAUACGACCUACGGGUGAAAGCAGGGGAUCUUCGGACCUUGCGCGAUUGAAUGAGCCGAUGUCGGAUUAGCUAGUUGGCGGGGUAAAGGCCCACCAAGGCGACGAUCCGUAGCUGGUCUGAGAGGAUGAUCAGCAACACUGGAACUGGAACACGGUCAAGACUCCUACGGGAGGCAGCAGUGGGGAAUAUUGGACAAUGGGCGCAAGCCUGAUCCAGCCAUACCGCGUGGGUGAAGAAGGCCUUCGGGUUGUAAAGCCCUUUUGUUGGGAAAGAAAAGCAGCAGGUUAAUACCCCGCUGUUCUGACGGUACCCAAAGAAUAAGCACCGGCUAACUUCGUG